Molecule: ribosomal RNA, 301 nt
Filed under: uncultured bacterium
Lineage: Bacteria
Description: partial 16S ribosomal RNA
Rfam family: Bacterial small subunit ribosomal RNA
Source: RNAcentral
CAGUCGCCGCGGGAAUACGUAGGUGGCAAGCGUUGUCCGGAAUUAUUGGGCGUAAAGCGUGCGCAGGUGGUUUAAUAAGUCUGAUGUGAAAGCCCACGGCUCAACCGUGGAGGGUCAUUGGAAACUGUUAAACUUGAGUGCAGGAGAGAAAAGUGGAAUUCCACGUGUAGCGGUGAAAUGCGUAGAGAUGUGGAGGAACACCAGUGGCGAAGGCGACUCUCUGGUCUGUAACUGACGCUGAGGAGCGAAAGCGUGGGGAGCGAACAGGAUUAGAUACCCCAGUAGUCCCUGUCUCUUAUAC